AUGAAUAUUCCGAAAAUUCUGAACAACAAUUUAGUUUUAAAGCGAAUUUUUUGUCGAAAUUACUCCGUUAAAGUGCUAGGAAUUGAAACAAGUUGUGACGAUACUGCAGUAGCAAUUGUCAACGAGAAACGAGAGAUUUUAUCUUCAGAGCGGUACACAGAACGGGCGAUUCAGAGACAACAAGGCGGGAUUAAUCCUUCAGUCUGCGCACUUCAACACCGUGAGAACCUUCCAAGGCUUAUAGAAAAGUGUCUGAACGACGCUGGAACAUCACCGAAAGAUCUGGAUGCAGUAGCGGUUACAGUAACGCCUGGAUUAGUUAUUGCACUUAAAGAGGGAAUUUCAGCGGCGAUUGGAUUUGCAAAAAAACAUCGUCUUCCACUGAUUCCAGUUCAUCAUAUGAGAGCCCAUGCUCUGUCAAUUCUUCUCGUCGAUGAUUCAGUGCGAUUUCCAUUUUCAGCAGUUCUUCUUUCGGGUGGUCAUGCAUUGAUUUCUGUUGCAGAAGAUGUCGAGAAAUUCAAAUUGCCAAAGUGUCAGUGGAAGCCCGGGCGAGUGCAUUGACAAAGUUGCGCGGCAGCUUGGAGAUCUUGGAUCAGAAUUCGAUGGGAUUCAUGUGGGCGCUGCGGUGGAAAUUCUAGCCUCUAGAGCCUCUGCUGAUGGCCAUUUGAGAUAUCCCAUAUUUCUUCCAAACGUUCCAAAAGCUAAUAUGAACUUCGAUCAAAUCAAAGGAUCCUAUCUGAAUUUGCUGGAAAGAUUGAGAAAAAACUCUGAAACAUCAAUUGAUAUUCCAGAUUUUUGUGCUAGCCUUCAGAACACCGUAGCCCGACAUAUCUCGAGCAAACUUCACAUCUUCUUCGAAAGUCUCUCCGAGCAGGAAAAACUUCCAAAACAGCUGGUGAUCGGCGGCGGAGUGGCGGCGAAUCAGUACAUUUUUGGAGCAAUCUCAAAACUAUCAGCUGCUCACAAUGUCACAACCAUCAAAGUCCUCUUGUCCCUUUGCACAGACAAUGCCGAAAUGAUCGCCUACAGUGGCCUUCUGAUGCUCGUCAAUCGAUCGGAGGCAAUUUGGUGGCGACCGAAUGACAUUCCUGACACAAUUUAUGCACACGCUAGAAGCGAUAUUGGGACGGAUGCUUCUUCGGAAAUCAUUGAUACACCGCGUCGGAAACUGGUGACAUCCACGAUCCAUGGCACCGAGCGGAUACGAUUCCGGAAUCUGGAUGAUUUUAAGAAGCCUAAAAGCCCUAAAACAACUGAAUGA
RNAcentral lists this unclassified non-coding RNA (1261 nucleotides) under Caenorhabditis elegans. RNAcentral describes it as "Non-coding transcript of protein-coding gene C01G10.10b". Lineage: Eukaryota; Metazoa; Nematoda; Chromadorea; Rhabditida; Rhabditidae. The record is from RNAcentral.